Molecule: non-coding RNA, 29 nt
Filed under: Homo sapiens (human)
Lineage: Eukaryota; Metazoa; Chordata; Mammalia; Primates; Hominidae
Source: RNAcentral
UGCCACUGUGUCUGUCUGCAAAUGUAGGC